This 217-nucleotide ribosomal RNA is filed under the name uncultured bacterium. RNAcentral describes it as "partial 16S ribosomal RNA". It matches the Rfam family "Bacterial small subunit ribosomal RNA", at positions 29 to 271 of the family's 1533-position model. The record is from RNAcentral.
AGCGAACGCUGGCGGCAGGCUUAACACAUGCAAGUCGAACGGAUCCUUCGGGAUUAGUGGCGGACGGGUGAGUAACACGUGGGAACGUGCCUUUUGGUUCGGAACAACACAGGGAAACUUGUGCUAAUACCGGGAUGUGCCCUUCGGGGGAAAGGAUUUAUCGCCAUUAGAGCGGCCCGCGUCUGAUUAGCUUGUUGGUGAGGUAAAGGCUCACCAA